ACAGAAAUGAUGACUUUAUAUUACCGCCCCAGUCUGAAGAUUCAUGACUGAUCGGUACCCCUCUGAUCCACG
This is a small nucleolar RNA of Synchiropus splendidus (mandarinfish), 72 nucleotides long. The record is from RefSeq and is a predicted model, not a curated record. NCBI's taxonomy places the organism in Eukaryota, Metazoa, Chordata, Actinopteri, Syngnathiformes, Callionymidae.